This 741-nucleotide long non-coding RNA is filed under the name Homo sapiens (human). Its description in RNAcentral is "HSALNT0237733". The record is from RNAcentral. Lineage: Eukaryota; Metazoa; Chordata; Mammalia; Primates; Hominidae.
GGGCUCAGGGAGCCAAGUGGCCCGCAAGCCCACCUGGAUUCUGCUCCCACACAGCCUGUUCCAGGCCCUGCUCACAGUGGUGUCCCAGGUGCUGUGUUUCCUGGCCAUCGAGUGGUACCUGCCCCUGCUUGUGUCUGCGCUGGUGCUGGGCUGGCUGAACCUGCUUUACUAUACACGUGGCUUCCAGCACACAGGCAUCUACAGUGUCAUGAUCCAGAAGGUGUCCACACGGGAGCAUGUGCAUCCUUCCACAAGCAAGGAGCAAAGAAUAUGUGCAUAAGCUCAUCUGCAUGUCUGUGUCCUGCGAUGUGUGGGCGCGGGCAUGUAACUGCAUUCAUUUAUGUAUUCAGCGCAUGUUUAGGGAGUGCCUACUGUGGGCCGGGCCCUGUUCUAGGUGUUGGGAAUAUAGCAGAGAACAGAACAAGUCCUUGCUCCCCUGAAGCUGAUGUUCUGGUGGGAGGAAAUGAAAACCUUAAGAAAACAACUGAGAACAUUCCACACUGCUAAAUUCUAUGAAGGAAAAAAAAGCACAGGACAAUGUGAUGCAGAAUGGCUGGGACCAAGUACCCUUUAGAUGGGAUGGUCUGGGAAGCCUCUCUAAAGAGGGGAUGUUUAAGUUGAGACCUGAAAGAAUGAUUCAGCCACAGCAGGGUGAAGAGGAGAUAUUCUCAGCAGAGGGCACAGCAGUGGCUGCCACGAGCCAGAAGGAGCUUGGGGUGCUUGGGACAGGGUGAGGAGGCU